This 520-nucleotide ribosomal RNA is filed under the name uncultured Diversispora. Its description in RNAcentral is "SSU rRNA". It matches the Rfam family "Eukaryotic small subunit ribosomal RNA", at positions 569 to 1089 of the family's 1831-position model. The record is from RNAcentral. Lineage: Eukaryota; Fungi; Glomeromycota; Glomeromycetes; Diversisporales; Diversisporaceae.
AGCAGCCGCGGUAAUUCCAGCUCCAAUAGCGUAUAUUAAAGUUGUUGCAGUUAAAAAGCUCGUAGUUGAACUUCGGGGUUUACCCAUUGGUCAGGCUUAAUUGUCUGUACUGGUGAGAUAAAUCUCUACCUUCUGAGGAACUUUCAUGUCAUUAAUUUGGUGUGAUUGGAAAUCAGGACUGUUACUUUGAAAAAUUAGAGUGUUUAAAGCAGGCUAACGUCUGAAUACAUUAGCAUGGAAUAAUGAAAUAGGACGGACUGAUUCUAUUUCGUUGGUUUCUAGGAUCACCGUAAUGAUUAAUAGGGAUAGUUGGGGGCAUUAGUAUUCAAUUGUCAGAGGUGAAAUUCUUGGAUUUAUUGAAGACUAACUACUGCGAAAGCAUUUGCCAAGGAUGUUUUCAUUAAUCAAGAACGAAAGUUAGGGGAUCGAAGACGAUCAGAUACCGUCGUAGUCUUAACCAUAAACUAUGCCGACUAGGGAUCGGACGAAGUUAAUUUUAUAAUGACGCGUUCGGCACCUU